UAUAAGCUUCUUGAGUUCUGC
Molecule: non-coding RNA, 21 nt
Filed under: Arabidopsis thaliana (thale cress)
Lineage: Eukaryota; Viridiplantae; Streptophyta; Magnoliopsida; Brassicales; Brassicaceae
Source: RNAcentral